This is a long non-coding RNA of Leptidea sinapis, 472 nucleotides long. RefSeq lists it as uncharacterized. NCBI's taxonomy places the organism in Eukaryota, Metazoa, Arthropoda, Insecta, Lepidoptera, Pieridae. The transcript is spliced from 2 exons. The record is from RefSeq and is a predicted model, not a curated record.
UACUUUAACUUGUAAACAAAAAAAUCAACUUAUGAAUUUCAACUUAAUUUACUUUAACAUAAUGUAUAUGUAGAAGAACAAUUUUAUGCGUAUGAAUGCGAAUUGUGUUGGAGCAUGUUGUCGAAAAUAUGUUCGACUUCACAUUAUCUGAGCUUGAAGAAAUUCAGGAUCGAACAAGUUAAUUAGGAGUUACAGGAUUUUAUAUUUUGCUAAUACAUCACCGUUUUCUGCAGUUGAUCGUUGGUGCGCCGAGUUUUAAUUGAUGAACAUCCAAAGAAAGUAAAAGUAAAAACACAAAAAUGAAUCCUUUAUAGCAUUGUUUUGUAGGGGUCGACGGUAGAAGGAAAAAGGAAAGGUUGACUACAGUAAAAACACAAUUUUAGUGAGCAGGAUGAGUUUGUUAAAUUUUCAAAAAUUUGUCGUGUUGCCAUUUUUAAAAUGUUAACAAAUAAAUCAUAUUUUGCUAAUUGAA